UGGGUCAGAGACUACUGGUGGUGUAUGAGUGAAAUAUGAUGAAUACAUCUAGAACUCUGAGGUCCAU
Molecule: small nucleolar RNA, 67 nt
Filed under: Otolemur garnettii (small-eared galago)
Lineage: Eukaryota; Metazoa; Chordata; Mammalia; Primates; Galagidae
Description: Small nucleolar RNA SNORD113/SNORD114 family
Rfam family: Small nucleolar RNA SNORD113/SNORD114 family
About the family: The imprinted human domain at 14q32 contains two clusters of tandemly repeated small nucleolar RNAs named 14q(I) and 14q(II) snoRNAs. These two clusters are named SNORD113 and SNORD114 respectively in the HGNC approved gene symbol nomenclature.
Source: Rfam by way of RNAcentral